RNAcentral lists this ribosomal RNA (124 nucleotides) under Symphytum asperum. RNAcentral describes it as "5.8S ribosomal RNA". It matches the Rfam family "5.8S ribosomal RNA", at positions 36 to 154 of the family's 154-position model. From Rfam's summary of the family: 5.8S ribosomal RNA (5.8S rRNA) is a component of the large subunit of the eukaryotic ribosome. It is transcribed by RNA polymerase I as part of the 45S precursor that also contains 18S and 28S rRNA. The record is from RNAcentral. RNAcentral also lists the same sequence under 3 other names. Lineage: Eukaryota; Viridiplantae; Streptophyta; Magnoliopsida; Boraginales; Boraginaceae.
AUGAAGAACGUAGCGAAAUGCGAUACUUGGUGUGAAUUGCAGAAUCCCGUGAACCAUCGAGUCUUUGAACGCAAGUUGCGCCCGAAGCCAUUAGGCUAAAGGCACGUCUGCCUGGGCGUCACGC